UUGAGGGUGUUGCAUGUGACA
This 21-nucleotide unclassified non-coding RNA is filed under the name Chlamydomonas reinhardtii. RNAcentral's name for it is "small RNA Cre_3911". The record is from RNAcentral. Lineage: Eukaryota; Viridiplantae; Chlorophyta; Chlorophyceae; Chlamydomonadales; Chlamydomonadaceae.